UACAGAGGGGGCAAGCGUUAUUUGGAUUCACUGGGUUUAAAGGGUGCGUAGGAGGGCAGGUAAGUCAGUGGUGAAAUCUCCGAGCUUAACUUGGAAACUGCCGUUGAUACUAUCUGUCUUGAAUAUUGUGGAGGUGAGCGGAAUAUGUCAUGUAGCGGUGAAAUGCUUAGAUAUGACAUAGAACACCAAUUGCGAAGGCAGCUCGCUACACAUAUAUUGACUCUGAGGCACGAAAGCGUGGGGAUCAAACAGG
RNAcentral lists this ribosomal RNA (253 nucleotides) under uncultured bacterium. Its description in RNAcentral is "partial 16S ribosomal RNA". It matches the Rfam family "Bacterial small subunit ribosomal RNA", at positions 524 to 776 of the family's 1533-position model. The record is from RNAcentral.